AGAUGCUCAUUGGGCGUAAAGCGUGCGCAGGCGGUUUUGUAAGACAGAGGUGAAAUCCCCGGGCUCAACCUGGGAACUGCCUUUGUGACUGCAAGGCUGGAGUGCGGCAGAGGGGGAUGGAAUUCCGCGUGUAGCAGUGAAAUGCGUAGAUAUGCGGAGGAACACCGAUGGCGAAGGCAAUCCCCUGGGCCUGCACUGACGCUCAUGCACGAAAGCGUGAGGAGCAAACA
This 230-nucleotide ribosomal RNA is filed under the name uncultured Alicycliphilus sp. RNAcentral describes it as "partial 16S ribosomal RNA". It matches the Rfam family "Bacterial small subunit ribosomal RNA", at positions 551 to 774 of the family's 1533-position model. The record is from RNAcentral. Lineage: Bacteria; Pseudomonadati; Pseudomonadota; Betaproteobacteria; Burkholderiales; Comamonadaceae.